GAUGAAGAACGUAGCAAAAUGCGAUACUUGGUGUGAAUUGCAGAAUCCCGUGAGCCAUCGAGUUUUUGAACGCAAGUUGCGCCCGAAGCCUUUUGGCCGAGGGCACGUCUGCCUGGGCGUCACGCAUCGCGUCGCCCCCAACAAAUUCUCCGUCAGGGGAGCUUGUGUUUCGGGGGCGGAUACUGGUCUCCCGUGCUCAUGGCGCGGUUGGCCGAAAUAGGAGUCCCUUCGAUGGACGCACGAACUAGUGGUGGUCGUAAAAACCCUCGUCUUUUGUUUCGUGCCGUUAGUCGCGAGGGAAGCUCUUCAAAAACCCCAGCGCGUCGUCUCUUGACGGCGCUUCGACCGCGACCCCAGGUCAGGCGGGACUACCCGCUGAGUUUAAGCAUAUCAAUAAGCGGAGGA
This 405-nucleotide unclassified non-coding RNA is filed under the name soil metagenome. Its description in RNAcentral is "partial contains 5.8S ribosomal RNA, internal transcribed spacer 2, and large subunit ribosomal RNA". The stretch from base 1 to 122 matches the Rfam family "5.8S ribosomal RNA", at positions 35 to 154 of the family's 154-position model. The record is from RNAcentral.